CAGUGUUACAGCUCUUUUAGAAUUUGUCUAGCAGGUUUUUUGGUUUCCCAGAAAACCUCC
Molecule: small nuclear RNA, 60 nt
Filed under: Colobus angolensis palliatus
Lineage: Eukaryota; Metazoa; Chordata; Mammalia; Primates; Cercopithecidae
Description: U7 small nuclear RNA (ENSCANG00000013131.1)
Rfam family: U7 small nuclear RNA
About the family: Animal histone pre-mRNAs are spliced by a different mechanism than nuclear pre-mRNAs and self-splicing introns. This processing involves the U7 snRNP, which contains only one RNA species: U7. The 5' end of U7 RNA is thought to base-pair to a conserved spacer element downstream of the cleavage site in histone pre-mRNA.
Source: Rfam by way of RNAcentral